CCGCGUGUGUGAAGAAGGCCUUCGGGUUGUAAAGCACAAAUCAGUUGUGAGGAAAAGUUAGUAGUUAAUACCUGCUAGCCGUGACGUUAACAACAGAAGAAGCACCGGCUAACUCCGUGCCAGCAGCCGCGGUAAUACGGAGGGUGCGAGCGUUAAUCGGAAUUACUGGGCGUAAAGCGCACGCAGGCGGUUUGUUAAGCUAGAUGUGAAAGCCCCGGGCUCAACCUGGGACGGUCAUUUAGAACUGGCAGACUAGAGUCUUGGAGAGGGGAGUGGAAUUCCAGGUGUAGCGGUGAAAUGCGUAGAUAUCUGGAGGAACAUCAGUGGCGAAGGCGACUCCCUGGCCAAAGACUGACGCUCAUGUGCGAAAGUGUGGGUAGCGAACAGGAUUAGAUACCCUGGUAGUCCACACCGUAAACGCUGUCUACUAGCUGUUUGUGGCUUUAAGCCGUGAGUAGCGAAGCUAACGCGAUAAGUAGACCGCCUGGGGAGUACGGCCGCAAGGUUAAAACUCAAAUGAAUUGACGGGGGCCCGCACAAGCGGUGGAGCAUGUGGUUUAAUUCGAUGCAACGCGAAGAACCUUACCUACACUUGACAUGUUUGAGAAGUUACCAGAGAUGGUUUCGUGCCUUCGGGAACUCAAACACAGGUGCUGCAUGGCUGUCGUCAGCUCGUGUCGUGAGAUGUUGGGUUAAGUCCCGCAACGAGCGCAACCCUUGUCCUUAGUUGCCAGCAUUUAGUUGGGCACUCUAAGGAGACUGCCGGUGACAAACCGGAGGAAG
This 783-nucleotide ribosomal RNA is filed under the name Alteromonas sp. CJHH1. Its description in RNAcentral is "bacterial SSU rRNA". It matches the Rfam family "Bacterial small subunit ribosomal RNA", at positions 397 to 1172 of the family's 1533-position model. The record is from RNAcentral. Lineage: Bacteria; Pseudomonadati; Pseudomonadota; Gammaproteobacteria; Alteromonadales; Alteromonadaceae.